This 7414-nucleotide long non-coding RNA is filed under the name Homo sapiens (human). Its description in RNAcentral is "HSALNT0141323". The record is from RNAcentral. Lineage: Eukaryota; Metazoa; Chordata; Mammalia; Primates; Hominidae.
UUUGACAGCCUAAUAAAGAUACUUCUGUAUCAUCAGAUAUCAGAGAAAUGCCUAAAAGGUGAUCUUGGCAAGGCAGAGAAGAAUUAAAAGAUCUUUGCCAGUGAUCCUGUCUUGGCUGUAUCCACCAGAAUGAAGACAUAAGAUUCAGCCCUCAAACACUAAUCCAAGCUUGUGGAGCUGGCAUGACUUAGUCUAGCAAACAUCUGUGGGUUGGGAGUCUGAACAUGGACCACUGAAAAACGUGAGACAAAUGGCCAUCAUUUAGGAAAUGCAAACUCAAUGUGGGUGAAGCAUACUGUGAAGUGCAAGAGGGUAACUGAACUCCAAAACCAAUAGAAACAAAUCAGAAUUCUUCUGGCUCCCUACUGAUGCUUUCAGACCACAAAACUCAUACGAUUAUCAGAGAGUUGACCUGAGUAUAAUGAUAACAGAAGUGGUAAGCUUAGAAGCAAUAAUAGUAGUAUAAAACAGCUCUUUUCAAGCUCCAGUCAUUUGGCCACACCUGCCUCCUCCUCUCCUUACCUCUGGCAUCUGAUCUCUUUAUUCCAUUCCUUCAUUCCUUGAGGAUAAUGUGAGGUACCAAAGUUCCACCCUCCAAUUUCUGUACCAUUAUUAUCUUUUGCUCCAUCAAGGUCUAAGAAAACUACCAUCAAAUAUUCUGGCUUUACAAAUCCUUUGACUCUCACAACCCACUGCAGCCGUCCUUUACCUAUGGCCAAGCUCUCAAUUUUGACAGCAUCUCAGAAAUCUUAGAUUCCAUCUUCCCCCCGAGCACAGUGUUUGAUCCUUUCUACUCUCUCAAAUUUUCACUUCCAUUUCAUCAGCCUUCUCCCUCAGAAGAGCUUCCAGAGCCUGGAACUCUAUUUUAUCUCCCAUUGCAUCAGAUACCUUCUAUAUCCAUAUCUCUUUUUUUUUUUUUUUUUUGAAUGAGAGAGAAUCUCACUCUGUUGCCCAGGCUGGAGUGCAGUGGCAUGAUCUCAGCUUACUGCAACUUCUGCCUCUCGGGUUCAAGCAAUUCUCCUGCCUCAGCCUCCCAAGUAGCUAGGAUUACAGACGCACAACACCACGCCUGGCUAAUUUUUUAUUUUCAGUAGAGAUGGGGUUUCACUAUGUUGACCAGGCUGCUCUUGAACUCCUGACCUCAAGUGAUCUACCCGCCUCGGCCUCACAAAGUGCUGGGAUUAUAGGUGUGAGCCACUGUGUUUGGCCCUAUAUCCAUAUCUUUCCCAAUGAGAUCCAAUGGCCCAUCCCUUCAAACACUCUCUUACCUCUUGAAUUUAUUUUAUUUUUACUUUAAUAUAAUUAUAAAAUAUGUAUAUGUGUGCUGGUUAUUCUUCAUUAUUUCCUCUACCCCACAUCCAAUGCCCACUCUUCUCUGUCCUGCUCUUGCCCUGGGAGGCUAACCCCUGUGGAUCACACACUUCAAGUUUCCGUGCCACAUGGCUUCUGGUUGAAUUCAAUCAAUAGGAAGCACCAGCAAGAUAUUAGUAGGAGGGAAGAAAAACAGGUCAGGGUGGCACUUACUUCCGUACACCAGCUCUGACACUCCGGCUGUGACACUGUGACUCAAACAGGAAAAACUUGAAACUCUAUUUAUACCUUUCUCCCUUCUCCUCUAUAAAACAAAAGCCUUAAGUCACUAGUAUGGGGCAGCAAAUUCUGUCGCCCCAGGGAACAAAUGAAGAUCUACUGCAGCUGGGGACAGAAUAAAAGAAAAAAGGGUGAAAAAAGGAAAGAAAGAGUAAAAGAAAAAACAUAACAGUCCUGGGCCCAGAAUACUGUACCAACACAAUUAAAGGUCUCCUACCACUGGAGGACAACAGAAAACUCCCUCCAUACAAGAUCUGCUGCAAGUACAAAACAGAGUUUGGCUUCCAUGGAGAGGAGGAACAGGAUGACUGAGAUGCCACACUAAAACUCUGGCACAAAAGACCUAAGACUCAGACUAGAUCAGGAUAACAGAAAAAAUAUCCUGACCUCUACCACCAGACUUAGCAAGUACCAAGUAAAAAGCAACAAUAGACUACCUCUAGGGGAGGUGCAAGAGCAUGGAGAGAGACCCCACUGCAGAAUGAUGCACAAGGAAAGCAGAAAGCUAAAACGAAAGCAGGAACAUUGAGGAAAACUCUCCGGUACCACAGUCCCCAUUCUAACAAAGUUAACACCAGAGGAAUUUGAAGUUAGUGGUAUACAAAUAUAACCAUAACAACAACAGCAUCCAAAUCUAGCUCAACUCCUGACUCAAUUGACUCAGCCCCUGUCAUCUACCAUUACCAUCAAAUAUAUACACUAAUGGUCUUGCAGAAGAAAUUGUGUGCCCAUUUCCAGGCACAAAUACUAUAUAUCUCAUGCUCUGCUAUCCUACGUGCAAUGGACAGCAUUGUAUUAAAAAUUAUAAGACACUCACACAAAGGCAAGGGAAAAACCCACUGUCAAAAGACAAAGCAAUCAACAUUACAAAACGAAGAGAUGACCUAGGUGUUUGAACAAUCUGACAGGAAAUAUAUAAUUACUAUGAUUAAUAUCUUAAAGGUUCUAGUGGAAAGGAUGGAUAACACAUAUGAACAAAUGGAAAAUUUCAGCAGAGAGAAAAAUCCAAUAUAAAUGCUUAGAAGUUUAAACACAUUUAAUAACAGAGAUGAAGCAUGUCUUCAAUGUUAUCAUUAGUAGAAUUGAUGCAGUUGAGGAAAGAAAAAGUGAACUUUAAUGGUAAGUCAAUUACAAUUAUCUAAACUGAAAUAUAAAGAAUAAAAAGAAUAAAACAAACAGAACAGAGCAUCCAAAAGCAGUGGGACAAUAUUCAUGAUCUAACAUACAUGCAAUUAAAAAUCCAAGAGAGGAGAAAGACAAUGAGGCAGAAGAAGUAUUUGAAGAGUAUGGUUGAGAAUUUUUCAAAAAUAAUGAAAUACAUCAAACUAUAGAUCCAAAAAUCUUAGAGAGCCCCAAGUAAGAUAGAAACCCCCCAUAAAAAGCACAUAGACACAUCAUAUUUAAACUUCAAUAUGUAAACCAAAGAAGAAGAGAAAGCCCUGAAGGCAGCUAGAGGAAAAGAACAUAUUGCAUCCAGAGAAACAAAGGUAAGAAUUACAAAGACUUCUUGUCAAAAAAUAUACAAGCCCAAAGACAAUGGAAAGAGAUCUUUAAAGUGCUGCGGGUGGGAAUGGGGAGGGGCGGGGAAGUUCAAUCCAGAUUUCUACACUUAGCAAAAAUAUCUUUCAAAAAUGAAAGUAAAAUUAAGACUUUUUUAAAUAAAAUCUGUUCUGAACAAUUUUUAGGAGUCACCGAUACAUGGUUAGCAGUGUUUCAGGAAACCCUGAAAUCACACUGGAAGAGUCUGUCAAGACAGAAGAGAGAGGAGGCGGUUCCAAGAUGGAGCUGGAGAACACCAAGACUAAAAGACACAGAGAAUGAGAACUGUGCUGGUCUCCAGGUUCAUCUGCUUUCUUAAACUAACCAUGAGCCAAGAAACAAGUGGAAGAGGCCAGAUGAAAGGGAAAAGAAGAGCUAACACCAUAUGAGCUCUUAGUAACGCCAGGUAUCUCUCCUACCGAACACCAAGCUCCACUGGAAACAGAAUCUUCCGUCUUGAAAAUCUGCAUCUUCAGUUCCCUCCGUGAAGGAGCGGGCUCUGAUCUGAGAAACCAGUGGUUCAAGAGCUCCACCAUGAGGAAAGCAGGAAACAAGCCCUCGAGCAAGACAUUUCUGUCAUUUUCAAAAGCAGGUGCUACCCACAGGAAGGCAAAGGCCAGAGAUGGGGAAUGGGGACCAGGGGAGCAGCCAGGUCAUGGCUCUGGGGCUGUCUGGUGAGGAAAGGGACUUGGCACAGUGUCUCCUGUCCCCUCAUCUGCCCCGCCUUUUGCCGCAUAUUUAUACAACACAAGAAGUCCACACUUCUGUUCUUCCCAGUUCACAGAUAAUUAACUCCGGGCACAAAGACAACUGAUUUGCCAAAGUCACCCAGCCAGCAAGUGGAAAGCCAGGAUUUGAACCCCAGCAGUUUGGCUGUAAAGCCUGUGCUCUUCCACACCUCACAGCACAGGGUUCCACAUCUCGAGGCACCGUCUAUGGGUUGCCAGUGAGUUACCUGGGUCACAGAAGAUAUAUGUGCUCAGCCCUGGCCCUUUAGAAUGGCUUUCUCCCCACUCCACGCAGGGCACAUGGGGGCUACUAACUCUGAGCUCUACAUUGGUAGCAGCUGGCAAGACGCUAAAGCUACUCUUCCCUCUUGGAGAAUUAGAUGCAAUUAGGUUUGCUAAAUUCUCCCAUCAGCCCUGCUCACUAAAUUCCUCACUGACUGCAAUAGUGUUGCCUCCCAGCUGCUGCAGCGUCUGACCCUCACAUCUGCUGGCUUCUCCCCUGGGGCCAGAUCACUCCUGCAGCUACCAGCUCUCACCACCCCCACCCCCAUCCCAGGCCACCAGCCCUUUGAGAUGGGUUGGAACUCUCUGCCAAUUAGAGGUGACUGGGGGAUUCUGGGGAAAGCAUAAGCUUUGGUAUCAAUUAGAACUGGGACAGAAAUCUGGAUCUAUCUGUAUCACUUUAAACAAGGAGCAGAACCUCUCUGAAACUCAUCUUGAAAAUGAGAGAAAUGUUUUAUUUCCUUUUCUCAUUUAUGUGUUGACCCCACUCAGAGGGCAGACAUUGUGUCUGUCUUGUCCACGGUUUUAUCUCCAUUACCUAACACAGUGCCUGGCACUUAGAAGACAAUAAAUAUUUGUGGAGGGAAGGAGGAAAAAAAUACUUUCCCUAUAGGAUUGUUAAGAGCACUAAAUGAGAUAACAUAUGUAAGAAUCUGAGUUACAUGUGCUCUAUAAAUGAUGGAUUCUAACCACCAGCUUAUUUUGAUUACAUGACACCAGGCUUCUUGUUUCAGCUAAUUAUCAUUGUCACCUCAUCCAUUCAUUCAUUGCAGAAAUACUGAGCACCUGCUACAAGUAAUGCAGGACAAUAAAAACGUAAAGAGCAUGGUCCCUACCUUAAAGCGGCUCAGUUACAAUUUCAGUAUACCAUGUGCCACAGCGGUCAUAAGUACAGAGAGCCAUGAGCACACAGAGACUAGCCAGGAAAGGAUGUAGGAGCAGGGAAAAAUCUGGAGGUGGAGAAAAACUUCCUAUGUUGAACUCUGGUGCCCAUUGACAAAGCUGAGUCCCUGGAAAUGAGUAGAUGAUGAAUUUUAUCACACACAAAAGAUAUGCUUGGAAUAAUUUUUUACCAGUCUCUUUCCUCAGAGAUGUAUCUGGAUGUUGCCUUUAGCUGGUUAGACUCUGUCUCUUGGAGAACUGUAUGAAGGGCAGUCCAAGUUCUCUGAGACUUUUGGCUCCAACAGAUCCAAACCACCAGACAGCAGGAAUUAGAAACAGGUGCUACCUAUGGUCUGUGUAUUAGUCCGUUCUCGCACUGCUAUAAAGAAACUGAGACUUGUUAAUUUAUAAAGAAAAGAGGCUUAACUGACUCACGGUUCCUCAGGCCGUACAGGUAGCAUGGCUUGGGAGGCCUCAGGAAACUUUCAAUCACAGCAGAAGGUGAAGGGAAAGCAGGCAUAUCUCACAUGGCCGGAGUAGGAGGAAGAGAGCAAAGUGGGAAGUGCUACACACUUUUAAACGAUCAGAUCUCGUGAGAACUCACUCACUAUCAUGAGAACAGCAAGGCGGAAGUUGGCCCCCUUGAUCCAAUCACCUCCCAAUAGGCCCCUCCUCUAACACUGGGGAUUACAAUUCAACAUGAGAUUCGGGCGGGUCCACAAAUCCGAAACAUAUCAGUCUGGAAUUUAAAUAAAUUGAAGCAAGCAUAUCUUUAUUUGCCACCAAUUUAUUACCCUAAGUUCUGGGCAAGACUUCUUGGAAAACUCCUCUAAAUUUUUUGAGCAGCAUCUAACAUUUUACACAGUAGACCACGUGAUGUGUUCUCAGGUUUCCAAAAUUUGUCAUAUGCAGCCACUGGCCGGACAUGCCAUUGUGAGUUUCACCUGUACUAUUUCUUUUCUUAACGUUUUUAAAUUAUUUUACUUAAAAAAAAAAAACUAUUCAGGAUCAGGCGUGGUGGCUCACACCUGUAACUGCAGCACUUUGGGAGGCCGAGGUGGGCAGAUCACUUGAGGUCAGGAGUUCGAGACCAGCCUGGCCAACAUGGUGAAACCCUGUCUCUACGUGUCUCUACUACAAAUACAAAAAUUAGCCGGGCAUGGUGGCAUGUGCCUGUAAUCCCAGCUACUUGGGAGGCUGAGGCAGGAGAAUCACUUGAACCUGGGAAGCAGAGAGCCGGGAUCAGUGAGCCGAGAUCACACCACUGCACUCCAGACUGGACGAAAGAGCAAGACUCCAUCUCAAAAACAAACAAACAAACAAACUAAACUUUUCAAAGAAGAUUUUCCAGAUGUAAUUAAAAAACAAGUAUCAACUGCCCUUGCAGUCCCAAUGUCUUCAAACAUUAUUGCCAUUCCAGUCAUGAAGUGAUGCUCAAACACAAUUCUCAGCAAGCCAUGCCGCAUGACCUUGAGACGGACAAAUGAAGCUCUAAAUUGACACCUGCCAAUGGAGUGUGUUAUGGAGGGUGUGUAGCUCAAAGGGAUCGUAUCCCACCAAAAAAUCAUCUUGACUUCCACCAGCUAGCAAUAGAAAUUUGGGUGCACUCAGUGAAAAGAUGAUGCGAUUUAAACCAUGAUGCCUGGGUUGGGGUCAUGCCUCUACCCCUUACUAGUUGUGUGACUUUGGACAGGAACUUAACUUCUCUGAGCUUCAAGUCCCAAAUAUCAUUGUUAUCAUAAUAAUAAUGAUAUUAUUAUGACAGCAAUUUCUCAUAAAAUUGGUGAGCCAAUGAAAUUAUUGCAAUGGUAUGACUGCAAAAUCACCUUGUAAACUCUAAAGUAUGCAUAAAUAUUUAUUAAUUUCCUGAGAAAUAAAUCUUCCAAGAUACAGUGAAGCUUACACUUUUACUGUCAGAACUUGGACAUUAUCAUUAUUGAUGAGAGACUAUAAAGAACAUGGCCUUUGACCAUUACUCAGACAAUUGAGUAGGCGACAGGAGAAUGUUUCUCACCCCUUCUUUCUAUGAUGUGUAAACAUGCUAAGCUGGAGAAAUGAUCAGAGAACAGGAGAUGUGGUUGUGAGAGUUGGCACAGGAUGCAGAAAGCCCAGAUGUACAAUGAGUGCUAUCCUGCCAUAGACACAUCACCUAGCAAGGUCCCAUAAAACCAGGACAACUCUUUCCUUCACAUGGUGGAUCUUCACUGCACCUCAACUCAGCCAGUUUUAACAAAUCCAUUUUCCACCCUACGCCUGGAGGCUGAUCUGUAAGGACGGCAUCAAGCUCCCUUGCCCUCUUGCUCCUAGUUGGUUUUGGCUAAUGGGGAGCCACUGAAGGAGAUAGGAGGCAAGAGGAACAAGGUGAGAGUAUUUAUUUUCUGGCUCCUUCUCAG